CUACAUGUUUUGUGUUUAUUUUAUGUGCAUUAACAAACAUAGCCAGGAAAAUUUCAUAAAUGACGCUAACCAAUUAUUUUUGAUGAUUGCUCGGUUGCAAUGAACCAUUCAUCAAUUAUGAGAUUUUUACCAAUUCCCAACACUAGCUGAUACAUGAUGUAUUACAC
This is a long non-coding RNA of Haliotis rubra (blacklip abalone), 167 nucleotides long. RefSeq lists it as uncharacterized. The transcript has 4 exons. The record is from RefSeq and is a predicted model, not a curated record. Lineage: Eukaryota; Metazoa; Mollusca; Gastropoda; Lepetellida; Haliotidae.